RNAcentral lists this ribosomal RNA (301 nucleotides) under uncultured bacterium. Its description in RNAcentral is "partial 16S ribosomal RNA". It matches the Rfam family "Bacterial small subunit ribosomal RNA", at positions 509 to 807 of the family's 1533-position model. The record is from RNAcentral.
CAGCAGCCGCGGUAAAACGAAGGGUGCAAGCGUUACUCGGAAUUACUGGGCGUAAAGCGUGCGUAGGUGGUGGUUUAAGUCCGUUGUGAAAGCCCUGGGCUCAACCUGGGAAUUGCAGUGGAUACUGGGUCACUAGAGUGUGGUAGAGGAUAGUGGAAUUUCCGGUGUAGCAGUGAAAUGCGUAGAGAUCGGAAGGAACAUCUGUGGCGAAGGCGACUAUCUGGGCCAACACUGACACUGAGGCACGAAAGCGUGGGGAGCGAACAGGAUUAGAUACCCCCGUAGUCCCUGUCUCUUAUAC